GUAUCUCUGACAGAAAUGUACCUAUCUUUUUUUCAUUCAGAGAACAGAAGCAAAACAGAUCGAUCAACUCAAGCUAUUGCUUAUGAUGAUUCAUCCAGCCACACAAGUUUUAAAGGCCAUUACAAACAUCUCUGCAAUCUACUCCUCUGUAUCAUAUGGAUGACAGAGAAUCAGACCAAGCAAAACUCCCAUUAAAGUAAAUGAAAAUUGCGCCUGUGUAAAGGGUAAGUGAAAACAAUUGUCUUUUGGUUCAAGAGCUCAGGAACAAUGUCAGGGAGAAAGGAUAUGACC
This 291-nucleotide long non-coding RNA is filed under the name Anas platyrhynchos platyrhynchos (common mallard). RNAcentral's name for it is "lncRNA (ENSAPLG00000016963.1)". Lineage: Eukaryota; Metazoa; Chordata; Aves; Anseriformes; Anatidae. The record is from RNAcentral.